GAUGGUGGUGGUGGUGGUGGUGGUGGU
RNAcentral lists this non-coding RNA (27 nucleotides) under Rattus norvegicus (Norway rat). The record is from RNAcentral. Lineage: Eukaryota; Metazoa; Chordata; Mammalia; Rodentia; Muridae.